RNAcentral lists this unclassified non-coding RNA (142 nucleotides) under Benitoa occidentalis. RNAcentral's name for it is "partial external transcribed spacer". Lineage: Eukaryota; Viridiplantae; Streptophyta; Magnoliopsida; Asterales; Asteraceae. The record is from RNAcentral.
CCUUCCGACCGAAAUUAUGUAUGGGUUGGAUGUGGGGGAGAGGUACCACGUGAAUCCCUAAAUGGUCAUGGUGGGUGUCUUUUUAACCAUAUAACAAUUAGGGAGGAUCUUUAUGGUGGAUUUUGUUCUCUUCGUAUCGUGC